RNAcentral lists this ribosomal RNA (492 nucleotides) under uncultured bacterium. RNAcentral's name for it is "partial 16S ribosomal RNA". It matches the Rfam family "Bacterial small subunit ribosomal RNA", at positions 29 to 507 of the family's 1533-position model. The record is from RNAcentral.
AGUGAACGCUGGCGGUGGGCCUAACACAUGCAAGUCGAACGGCAGCACAGUAGGAGCUUGCUCUUACGGGUGGCGAGUGGCGGACGGGUGAGGAAUACAUCGGAAUCUACUUUUUCGUGGGGGAUAACGUAGGGAAACUUACGCUAAUACCGCAUACGACCUACGGGUGAAAGCAGGGGAUCUUCGGACCUUGCGCGAUUGAAUGAGCCGAUGUCGGAUUAGCUAGUUGGCGGGGUAAAGGCCCACCAAGGCGACGAUCCGUAGCUGGUCUGAGAGGAUGAUCAGCCACACUGGAACUGAGACACGGUCCAGACUCCUACGGGAGGCAGCAGUGGGGAAUAUUGGACAAUGGGCGCAAGCCUGAUCCAGCCAUACCGCGUGGGUGAAGAAGGCCUUCGGGUUGUAAAGCCCUUUUGUUGGGAAAGAAAAGCAGCAGGUUAAUACCCCGCUGUUCUGACGGUACCCAAAGAAUAAGCACCGGCUAACUUCGUG